UUUUGUCUUAAUGUUGUCUUGUAUUUGUGGUAGAGAUAAUUCAAUUGCCAUGGUAGCUUAAAUUAAUUCAAUUGGUCAUUAGCUAUAUUGUGAUGUUUCCUUGAUAUUUCUGAACUGUAGCUGCGGUUGCUACUCUGACCUUGGUUAAUGUGAAACAUGUAUUUGCACUAGCAAUUGGGUAUAUACUUAGUUGCCCAGUUGGUGUUACAU
RNAcentral lists this long non-coding RNA (210 nucleotides) under Vigna radiata. RNAcentral describes it as "long non-coding RNA (VRAD_LNC011362)". The record is from RNAcentral. Lineage: Eukaryota; Viridiplantae; Streptophyta; Magnoliopsida; Fabales; Fabaceae.